AUUGAACGCUGGCGGCAGGCCUAACACAUGCAAGUCGAGCGGAUGAAGGGAGCUUGCUCCUGGAUUCAGCGGCGGACGGGUGAGUAAUGCCUGGGAAUCUGCCUGGUAGUGGGGGAUAACGUCCGGAAACGGGCGCUAAUACCGCAUACGUCCUGAGGGAGAAAGUGGGGGGUCUUCGGACCUCACGCUAUCAGAUGAGCCUAGGUCGGAUUAGCUAGUUGGUGGGGUAAAGGCCUACCAAGGCGACGAUCCGUAACUGGUCUGAGAGGAUGAUCAGUCACACUGGAACUGAGACACGGUCCAGACUCCUACGGGAGGCAGCAGUGGGGAAUAUUGGACAAUGGGCGAAAGCCUGAUCCAGCCAUGCCGCGUGUGUGAAGAAGGUCUUCGGAUUGUAAAGCACUUUAAGUUGGGAGGAAGGGCAGUAAGUUAAUACCUUGCUGUUUUGACGUUACCAACAGAAUAAGCACCGGCUAACUUCGUG
Molecule: ribosomal RNA, 484 nt
Filed under: uncultured bacterium
Lineage: Bacteria
Description: partial 16S ribosomal RNA
Rfam family: Bacterial small subunit ribosomal RNA
Source: RNAcentral